AGUUCAGUGGUACUAUUCCUGUUGAACUAGGCAAUCUAUCCCAGCUCCAGACCUUAUCAUUAAAUGCAAACCAUUUUACUGGUAGAAUACCUGCAUCCCUGGACACUUGAACAAGAAUCAUCUCUCAGGUCCAAUUCCACUGAGCCUUUUCAGCUCUAGCAUGAAUGUUAAACAUAUACUGCUUGACA
Zingiber officinale is the source of this 188-nucleotide long non-coding RNA. RefSeq lists it as uncharacterized. The record is from RefSeq and is a predicted model, not a curated record. NCBI's taxonomy places the organism in Eukaryota, Viridiplantae, Streptophyta, Magnoliopsida, Zingiberales, Zingiberaceae. The transcript has 4 exons.